RNAcentral lists this ribosomal RNA (497 nucleotides) under uncultured bacterium. Its description in RNAcentral is "partial 16S ribosomal RNA". It matches the Rfam family "Bacterial small subunit ribosomal RNA", at positions 28 to 507 of the family's 1533-position model. The record is from RNAcentral.
GAUGAACGCUGGCGGCGUGCCUAAUACAUGCAAGUCGAGCGAAUAGACGAGGAGCUUGCUCCUCUGACGUUAGCGGCGGACGGGUGAGUAACACGUGGAUAACCUACCUAUAAGACUGAGAUAACUUCGGGAAACCGGAGCUAAUACCGGAUAAUAUAUUGAACCGCAUGGUUCAAUAGUGAAAGACGGUUUUGCUGUCACUUAUAGAUGGAUCCGCGCCGCAUUAGCUAGUUGGUAAGGUAACGGCUUACCAAGGCAACGAUGCGUAGCCGACCUGAGAGGGUGAUCGGCCACACUGGAACUGAGACACGGUCCAGACUCCUACGGGAGGCAGCAGUAGGGAAUCUUCCGCAAUGGGCGAAAGCCUGACGGAGCAACGCCGCGUGAGUGAUGAAGGUCUUCGGAUCGUAAAACUCUGUUAUUAGGGAAGAACAAAUGUGUAAGUAACUAUGCACGUCUUGACGGUACCUAAUCAGAAAGCCACGGCUAACUACGUG